GUUUACGGCCACACCGGCCUGAGUACGCCUGAUCUUGUCCGAUCUCGGAAGCUAAGCAGGGUCGGGCCUGGUUAGUACUUGAAUGGGAGACCGCCUGGGAAUACCAGGUGCUGUAAGCU
RNAcentral lists this ribosomal RNA (119 nucleotides) under Oncorhynchus mykiss (rainbow trout). Lineage: Eukaryota; Metazoa; Chordata; Actinopteri; Salmoniformes; Salmonidae. The record is from RNAcentral.